GUGGGGAAUAUUGGACAAUGGGCGAAAGCCUGAUCCAGCCAUGCCGCGUGUGUGAAGAAGGUCUUCGGAUUGUAAAGCACUUUAAGUUGGGAGGAAGGGCAUUAACCUAAUACGUUAGUGUUUUGACGUUACCGACAGAAUAAGCACCGGCUAACUCUGUGCCAGCAGCCGCGGUAAUACAGAGGGUGCAAGCGUUAAUCGGAAUUACUGGGCGUAAAGCGCGCGUAGGUGGUUCGUUAAGUUGGAUGUGAAAUCCCCGGGCUCAACCUGGGAACUGCAUCCAAAACUGGCGAGCUAGAGUAGGGCAGAGGGUGGUGGAAUUUCCUGUGUAGCGGUGAAAUGCGUAGAUAUAGGAAGGAACACCAGUGGCGAAGGCGACCACCUGGGCUCAUACUGACACUGAGGUGCGAAAGCGUGGGGAGCAAACAGG
RNAcentral lists this ribosomal RNA (430 nucleotides) under uncultured Pseudomonas sp. RNAcentral's name for it is "bacterial SSU rRNA". It matches the Rfam family "Bacterial small subunit ribosomal RNA", at positions 354 to 776 of the family's 1533-position model. The record is from RNAcentral. Lineage: Bacteria; Pseudomonadati; Pseudomonadota; Gammaproteobacteria; Pseudomonadales; Pseudomonadaceae.